Molecule: ribosomal RNA, 1519 nt
Filed under: Staphylococcus aureus
Lineage: Bacteria; Bacillati; Bacillota; Bacilli; Caryophanales; Staphylococcaceae
Description: partial 23S ribosomal RNA
Rfam family: Bacterial large subunit ribosomal RNA
Source: RNAcentral
GGCGUAGGCGAUGGAUAACAGGUUGAUAUUCCUGUACCACCUAUAAUCGUUUUAAUCGAUGGGGGGACGCAGUAGGAUAGGCGAAGCGUGCGAUUGGAUUGCACGUCUAAGCAGUAAGGCUGGGUAUUAGGCAAAUCCGGUACUCGUUAAGGCUGAGCUGUGAUGGGGAGAAGACAUUGUGUCUUCGAGUCGUUGAUUUCACACUGCCGAGAAAAGCCUCUAGAUAGAAAAUAGGUGCCCGUACCGCAAACCGACACAGGUAGUCAAGAUGAGAAUUCUAAGGUGAGCGAGCGAACUCUCGUUAAGGAACUCGGCAAAAUGACCCCGUAACUUCGGGAGAAGGGGUGCUCUUUAGGGUUAACGCCCAGAAGAGCCGCAGUGAAUAGGCCCAAGCGACUGUUUAUCAAAAACACAGGUCUCUGCUAAACCGUAAGGUGAUGUAUAGGGGCUGACGCCUGCCCGGUGCUGGAAGGUUAAGAGGAGUGGUUAGCUUCUGCGAAGCUACGAAUCGAAGCCCCAGUAAACGGCGGCCGUAACUAUAACGGUCCUAAGGUAGCGAAAUUCCUUGUCGGGUAAGUUCCGACCCGCACGAAAGGCGUAACGAUUUGGGCACUGUCUCAACGAGAGACUCGGUGAAAUCAUAGUACCUGUGAAGAUGCAGGUUACCCGCGACAGGACGGAAAGACCCCGUGGAGCUUUACUGUAGCCUGAUAUUGAAAUUCGGCACAGCUUGUACAGGAUAGGUAGGAGCCUUUGAAACGUGAGCGCUAGCUUACGUGGAGGCGCUGGUGGGAUACUACCCUAGCUGUGUUGGCUUUCUAACCCGCACCACUUAUCGUGGUGGGAGACAGUGUCAGGCGGGCAGUUUGACUGGGGCGGUCGCCUCCUAAAAGGUAACGGAGGCGCUCAAAGGUUCCCUCAGAAUGGUUGGAAAUCAUUCAUAGAGUGUAAAGGCAUAAGGGAGCUUGACUGCGAGACCUACAAGUCGAGCAGGGUCGAAAGACGGACUUAGUGAUCCGGUGGUUCCGCAUGGAAGGGCCAUCGCUCAACGGAUAAAAGCUACCCCGGGGAUAACAGGCUUAUCUCCCCCAAGAGUUCACAUCGACGGGGAGGUUUGGCACCUCGAUGUCGGCUCAUCGCAUCCUGGGGCUGUAGUCGGUCCCAAGGGUUGGGCUGUUCGCCCAUUAAAGCGGUACGCGAGCUGGGUUCAGAACGUCGUGAGACAGUUCGGUCCCUAUCCGUCGUGGGCGUAGGAAAUUUGAGAGGAGCUGUCCUUAGUACGAGAGGACCGGGAUGGACAUACCUCUGGUGUACCAGUUGUCGUGCCAACGGCAUAGCUGGGUAGCUAUGUGUGGACGGGAUAAGUGCUGAAAGCAUCUAAGCAUGAAGCCCCCCUCAAGAUGAGAUUUCCCAACUUCGGUUAUAAGAUCCCUCAAAGAUGAUGAGGUUAAUAGGUUCGAGGUGGAAGCAUGGUGACAUGUGGAGCUGACGAAUACUAAUCGAUCGAAGACUUAAUCAA